CAGUAGCCGCGGUAAAACGGAGGGUGCAAGCGUUAAUCGGAAUUACUGGGCGUAAAGCGUGCGUAGGCGGUUCGUUAAGUCUGUUGUGAAAGCCCCGGGCUCAACCUGGGAAUGGCAAUGGAUACUGGCGAGCUAGAGUGUGUCAGAGGAUGGUGGAAUUCCCGGUGUAGCGGUGAAAUGCGUAGAGAUCGGGAGGAACAUCAGUGGCGAAGGCGGCCAUCUGGGACAACACUGACGCUGAGGCACGAAAGCGUGGGGAGCAAACAGGAUUAGAUACCCGGGUAGUCCCUGUCUCUUAUAA
RNAcentral lists this ribosomal RNA (301 nucleotides) under uncultured bacterium. Its description in RNAcentral is "partial 16S ribosomal RNA". It matches the Rfam family "Bacterial small subunit ribosomal RNA", at positions 509 to 809 of the family's 1533-position model. The record is from RNAcentral.